ACAGCCACCCAACGAUUUUGUGAUGGUGUGGUUUUGAAAACUUCAGAGAAGACUACCACUAUAAAGGAGAACUCUUCGAUAAGAGAAGAAGAUACAAAAGUCAUUUUUUCAUUCAUUCAAUAUUUACAAAAAUAAUACCAGAGAGGCACUGUACAAAAGAAAAAAGAGAGAAAAAUAAAAAGAAAAGAUAGAAAUGAAGAAAAUGAGGAGGAGGGC
RNAcentral lists this long non-coding RNA (216 nucleotides) under Elaeis guineensis (African oil palm). RNAcentral's name for it is "long non-coding RNA (EGUI_LNC056146)". The record is from RNAcentral. Lineage: Eukaryota; Viridiplantae; Streptophyta; Magnoliopsida; Arecales; Arecaceae.